Paramuricea clavata is the source of this 73-nucleotide non-coding RNA. NCBI's taxonomy places the organism in Eukaryota, Metazoa, Cnidaria, Anthozoa, Malacalcyonacea, Plexauridae. The record is from the annotation of a GenBank genome assembly.
GACCGCUUAGCUCAGUUGGCAGAGCAUUGGGCUGGUAUUCCAAAGGUCGUAGGUUCGAAUCCCACCGUGGCCA